GAUGAACGCUGGCGGCGUGCCUAAUACAUGCAAGUCGAGCGAACAGACGAGGAGCUUGCUCCUCUGACGUUAGCGGCGGACGGGUGAUUAACACGUGGAUAACCUACCUAUAAGACUGGGAUAACUUCGGGAAACCGGAGCUAAUACCGGAUAAUAUAUUUAACCGCAUGGUUCAAUAGUAAAAGACGGUUUUGCUGUCACUUAUAGAUGGAUCCGCUCCGCAUUAGCUAGUUGGUAAGGUAACGGCUUACCAAGGCAACGAUGCGUAGCCGACCUGAGAGGGUGAUCGGCCACACUGGAACUGAGACACGGUCCAGACUCCUACGGGAGGCAGCAGUAGGGAAUCUUCCGCAAUGGGAGAAAGCCUGACGGAGCAACGCCGCGUGAGUGAUGAAGGUCUUCGGAUCGUAAAACUCUGUUAUUAGGGAAGAACAAAUGUGUAAGUAACUAUGCACGUCUUGACGGUACCUAAUCAGAAAGCCACGGCUAACUACGUG
Molecule: ribosomal RNA, 497 nt
Filed under: uncultured bacterium
Lineage: Bacteria
Description: partial 16S ribosomal RNA
Rfam family: Bacterial small subunit ribosomal RNA
Source: RNAcentral